UACGUAGGUGGCGAGCGUUGUCCGGAUUUACUGGGCGUAAAGAGCGCGCAGGCGGUCGUUCAAGUCGCGUGUGAAAGCCCCCGGCUCAACUGGGGAGGGUCACGCGAUACUGAUCGACUCGAAGGCAGGAGAGGGAAGUGGAAUUCCCGGUGUAGUGGUGAAAUGCGUAGAUAUCAGGAGGAACACCGGUGGCGAAGGCGGGUCUCUGGGCCGAAAUUGACGCUGAGGAGCGAAAGCGUGGGGAGCAAACAGG
RNAcentral lists this ribosomal RNA (253 nucleotides) under uncultured bacterium. Its description in RNAcentral is "partial 16S ribosomal RNA". It matches the Rfam family "Bacterial small subunit ribosomal RNA", at positions 524 to 776 of the family's 1533-position model. The record is from RNAcentral.